AGAGUUUGAUUCUGGCUCAGAACGAACGCUGGCAGCGUGGAUUAGGCAUGCAAGUCGAACGGUUGUUCUUUGUGUAGCAAUACAUGGAGGGCGAUAGUGGCGAAAGGGCGAGUAACGCGUGGGCAAUCUGCCUCCAAUGUUGGGAUAACCUGCCGAAAGGCGGGCUAAUACCAAAUGUGGUUACUGUUCGCAUGAACGGAGGACUAAAGACGGGGACCCUUCGGGGCCUGUCGCUUGGAGAGGAGCCCGCGUCCUAUCAGCUUGUUGGUGAGGUAACGGCCCACCAAGGCUAAGACGGGUAGCUGGUCUGAGAGGAUGGUCAGCCGCACUGGGACUGAGACACUGCCCAGACUCCUACGGGAGGCUGCAGUCGAGGAUCUUCUGCAAUGGGCGCAAGCCUGACAGAGCGACGCUGCGUGGAGGAUGAAGGCCUUCGGGUUGUAAACUCCUGUCAUCUGGGAAUAAUAGCCGGGGCAUUAAUACUGCCUCGGAAUGACGGUACCGGAAGAGGAAGCCACGGCUAACUCUGUGCCAGCAGCCGCGGUAAUACAGAGGCGGCAAGCGUUGUUCGGAUUUACUGGGCGUAAAGGGUGCGUAGGUGGUCCCGUAUGUCGGACGUGAAAUCCCGUCGCUCAACGACGGAACGGCAUUCGAAACUGCGGGGCUAGAGUGCAGGAGGGGAGAGCGGAAUUCUCGGUGUAGCGGUGAAAUGCGUUGAUAUCGAGAGGAACACCGGCGGCGAAGGCGGCUCUCUGGAAUGCAACUGACACUGAGGCACGAAAGUCAGGGGAGCAAACAGGUUUAGAUACCCUGGUAGUCCUGACCUUAAGCGGUGUGCACUUGGUGUGGGAGGAAUUAACCCCUUCCGUGCCGAAGCUAACGCGUUAAGUGCACCGCCUGGGGAGUACGGCCGCAAGGCUAAAACUCAAAGAAAUUGACGGGGGCCCGCACAAGCGGAGGAGCAUGUGGCUUAAUUCGAUGCAACGCGAAGAACCUUACCAGGACUUGACAUGCAACUGCAUAUCCUGCGAAAGCAGGGUAGCCUUCGAGGGUGUUGCACAGGUGCUGCAUGGCUGUCGUCAGUUCGUGCCGUGAGGUGUUGGGUUAAGUCCCGCAACGAACGCAACCCCUGUGUCUAGUUGCCACUCCCGAUGAUGAGUCGGGAAGCACUCUAGACAGACUGCUCUAUAAUGGGAGGAAGGUGGGGAUGACGUCAAGUCAGUAUGGCCCUUACGUCCUGGGCUGCACACGUGCUACAAUGGCCGGUACAGAGGGAAGCAAGACCGCGAGGUGGAGCAAAUCCUAAAAACCGGUCCCAGUUCGGAUUGAAGGCUGCAACUCGCCUUCAUGAAGUUGGAUUCGCUAGUAAUGGCGCAUCAGCUACGGCGCCGUGAAUACGUUCCCGGGCCUUGUACACACCGCCCGUCGCAUCAUGAAAGCCGUCUGCACCCGAAGUUGCCUUUGCCAACUCGCAAGAGGGGCGGGUACCUAAGGUGUGG
RNAcentral lists this ribosomal RNA (1499 nucleotides) under metagenome. RNAcentral describes it as "bacterial SSU rRNA". It matches the Rfam family "Bacterial small subunit ribosomal RNA". The record is from RNAcentral.